Molecule: ribosomal RNA, 497 nt
Filed under: uncultured bacterium
Lineage: Bacteria
Description: partial 16S ribosomal RNA
Rfam family: Bacterial small subunit ribosomal RNA
Source: RNAcentral
GAUGAACGCUGGCGGCGUGCCUAAUACAUGCAAGUCGAGCGAACAGAUGAGGAGCUUGCUCCUCUGACGUUAGCGGCGGACGGGUGAGUAACACGUGGAUAACCUACCUAUAAGACUGGGAUAACUUCGGGAAACCGGAGCUAAUACCGGAUAAUAUAUUGAACCGCAUGGUUCAAUAGUGAAAGACGGUUUUGCUGUCACUUAUAGCUGGAUCCGCGCCGCAUUAGCUAGUUGGUAAGGUAACGGCUUACCAAGGCAACGAUGCGUAGCCGACCGGAGAGGGUGAUCGGCCACACUGGAGCUGAGACGCGGUCCAGACUCCUACGGGAGGCAGCAGUAGGGAAUCUUCCGCAAUGGGCGAAAGCCUGACGGAGCAACGCCGCGUGAGUGAUGAAGGUCUUCGGAUCGUAAAACUCUGUUAUUAGGGAAGAACAAAUGUGUAAGUAACUAUGCACGUCUUGACGGUACCUAAUCAGAAAGCCACGGCUAACUACGUG